RNAcentral lists this ribosomal RNA (762 nucleotides) under uncultured bacterium. RNAcentral's name for it is "bacterial SSU rRNA". It matches the Rfam family "Bacterial small subunit ribosomal RNA", at positions 56 to 827 of the family's 1533-position model. The record is from RNAcentral.
UGCAGUCGAACGGUGAUAGCAAUAUCAUAGUGGCGCACGGGUGCGUAACACGUAUGCAACCUACCUUAUACUGAGGGAUAGCCUUUCGAAAGGGAGAUUAAUACCUCAUAACACAUUGAACUGGCAUCAGUUUAUUGUUAAAGAUUUAUUGGUAUAAGAUGGGCAUGCGUCCAAUUAGUUAGUUGGUGUGGUAAUGGCUCACCAAGACGAUGAUUGGUAGGGGAUCUGAGAGGAUAAUCCCCCACACUGGCACUGAGAUACGGGCCAGACUCCUACGGGAGGCAACAGUAGGGAAUAUUGGGCAAUGGGCGAAAGCCUGACCCAGCCAUGCCGCGUGCAGGAAGACGGCGUUAUGCGUUGUAAACUGCUUUUUUAUAGGAAGAAGGAUCCCUUGCGAGGGAAGGUGACGGUACUAUAAGAAUAAGCACCGGCUAACUCCGUGCCAGCAGCCGCGGUAAUACGGAGGGUGCAAGCGUUGUCCGGAUUUAUUGGGUUUAAAGGGUGCGUAGGCGGUUUAUUAAGUCAGUGGUGAAAGACGGUCGCUCAACGAUUGCAGUGCCAUUGAUACUGGUAGACUUGAGUGGGAUUGAGGUAGCUGGAAUGGAUAGUGUAGCGGUGAAAUGCAUAGAUAUUAUCCAGAACACCAAUUGCGUAGGCAAGUUACUAAGUCUCAACUGACGCUGAGGCACGAAAGUGUGGGUAUCAAACAGGAUUAGAUACCCUGGUAGUCCACACUGUAAACGAUGAUAACUAACUGUUGGC